CCUACGGGAGGCAGCAGUAGGGAAUAUUGCUCAAUGGGGGAAACCCUGAAGCAGCAACGCCGCGUGGAGGAUGAAGGUUUUCGGAUUGUAAACUCCUUUUGUUAGGGAAGAUAAUGACGGUACCUAACGAAUAAGCACCGGCUAACUCCGUGCCAGCAGCCGCGGUAAUACGUAGGGUGCAAGCGUUACCCGGAUUCACUGGGGGUAAAGAGCGCGUAGGCGGGAUAGCAAGUCAGAUGUGAAAUCCUAUGGCUUAACCAUAGAACUGCAUUUGAAACUGUUAUUCUAGAGUAUGGGAGAGGUAGGUGGAAUUCUUGGUGUAGGGGUAAAAUCCGUAGAGAUCAAGAGGAAUACUCAUUGCGAAGGCGACCUGCUGGAACAUAACUGACGCUGAUGCGCGAAAGCGUGGGGAGCAAACAGGAUUAGAUACCCGAGUAGUC
Molecule: ribosomal RNA, 440 nt
Filed under: uncultured bacterium
Lineage: Bacteria
Description: partial 16S ribosomal RNA
Rfam family: Bacterial small subunit ribosomal RNA
Source: RNAcentral